Molecule: long non-coding RNA, 3685 nt
Organism: Caretta caretta (loggerhead turtle)
Lineage: Eukaryota; Metazoa; Chordata; Testudines; Cheloniidae
Source: RefSeq, a predicted model, not a curated record
GUAACCAUUCCAUUUCAGUUUUGAAUUCCAGUUCUUGGUCACAAGGCACUUUCUUCUUUGAGUAGAGAUGGUAGGAAUUGUUAAGGAAAAGUUAGCACAUGUGACUCCAUUUUGGUUUGGGGCCCACCAUUGUUUAAAUGCCAGCACAUCAUACACCAGGAGGAGUAAUCCUUAGAUAUUGAAUCCCUGUGAAAAUCCUCCUCCUUGUCUCCAGCCUGCCUUGACUCCCAGUAUCUGGUUUUUGUCAGUCUCUAACUCCCUGUCUCUUGGCCUUGAUGUGAGGCCUCCCAUCCUGAUAAUAAAAGUUACUGAUGCAUAGCUUUAGGACCAUGCUGUGUAAUUAACAUACUGGUAUAGCACGAGGAAUGCACCAAGCAGGGAUAGGUGGUAGAUAAGACAAGGGUUUGUUUAUUGGCUAAGGUUUCCAAUGCACGAGGGCAACAUGCUUUGCUAAAAGGUAUAUAACCUUUGUAUAAUCUGCAUUCAGGGUCCCCUCCUGGCUAGCAGGGGGGCACCACGCUCGAGCGUAAUAAACUUAGUGUCUUUUGGGAACUCUGCAGUUGUGGACUUUGUUUCUGUGCCUCAGCCUAGAUUCGAACUGUGCGUGUCCUACCAGGUGUAAUUCGUAGCACUUGUGUGCGUGUCCUACCAGGUGUAAUUCGUAGCACUUGUGUGCGUGUCCUACCAGGUGUAAUUCGCAGCACUUGUGUGCGUGUCCUACCAGGUGUAAUUCGUAACAGUUUUGGCGAUCACGAAGGGACUCUAGGCUCGCCCCAACAAGCGAGACUACACUCCUCCUCUCGGACAGCUCCAGCCGGCACAGGGUUAAUAAAAGCCAAGAAGGGGAAAAAAAAUAAAACGGAGGACGAGCUAAUUCAACGCUGUAGCUGGCAGGCUUGGCAGGCUCGGUCCAAAGAUAAGACACUGGCCUGCCCAAGGACACUACUCACAGCUAGGAUUUGGCUAACAGCCAAGAAAGAGGGGGGCUUAAAUGUGCCCAAACAGCUGUAAGAUCUGCAACACACUGCCAGACAUUAAUGAAAUGUGUUAGGUCUCUGUAUUUACAGGUAAAAGAAGUCCUGCUUCAAGAAUCCUGAGCAAACCUGCCAUUUGUUAAAACCAGGUGACUGGGUCUACAUAAAGGUCCCUCGACAAAAUACUACUCUGGCCCCAUGCUGAAAAGGCCCUUAUUAAGUCCUGCUAACUACCAACACCGCUGUGAAGUGCCAAGGACUGACUGCCUAGACCCAUGCUUCUUACUGCAAAAAGACCCCUCCACCUCGAGGUGACUUCACUUCGACUACUGAUCAGUCUGUCCCUCCUUCUGGGUUUUUUUUUUUCUUUCCUCCUUUUAAACAGCAAAAAAAACAAACAAAAAAAAAAAAAACAAGGUGAAGUGCUAGUAACCUCUCCCUUGUCCACUGACAAAGCUAACCUGCAUUCAGUAUUUGCUAAAGAAACCAAAGCACUACAGGGUAACGUGCUAGUAACCUCUCCUCUGUAUAAUGCAAAACCAUGCCUGUUCCAAGAGAGAAGGAACGCCUGCUCUGCUAAAACCACCAAAAUCUAAAAAUUCCUGACUGCAAAAGACACUGAGAAUUGGCCUUGAUGGCAAAGACGGAGCAUUGUACAUUGGCAGGGAGAAAGUUGCGGAAUGUAUUCUUGGGAAUGUGAAGUAAAGUGGUGGGGUGGGUUUAUUCCAGAGGCUGGAACUGUGCUUGUAGGCAAGUAUAAAUACCAAAAACGCCUUACAGCAACGAACAUUACUCCCACCAUCUGCCACCACUCCUUUGCAGGUAAAGGUUCCUGGAUCCAUCAUAGCUACGUUAAGUUGGCGCUGGGACCCCCACCUGACCCUGACAAGCCAUUGGAUGAGCCACUUCACGAAUGAACACCACGACCAACCUAUGGACUAAGCUUUCCAGCUACUGGGACCUUCACAGCCCACCAGGACUUUUUGUGUUCCUGUUUAUUGGACUUAUAUUGGGGGUAGUGUUUUUUGUAUAGUACAGGGGAGGAUGUCGACAUUGGUAUGGUUUGCCUGGGAGGGGUUCUCUCCCUAUUCCCAAGUCCAGUACAAGGACGGGAGGUCAAUAGCUUCUUGAAUUUAACCCGUGCUAUCAAACAGGGUGUAAAUCGAACGCAGUGUUGGAUUUGUAUUCGUACCCCCACAUAUUUAGGUCAGGGAGUCCCGUUGGUAGGGGUACCUAUCCCCCUUAAUCGAACACUCCAAGCUAAGCUAUGGGCAAACACUACAUUUAACUGAAAUGUUACAAUCCAAAUAUGGUCUAUUGAUAUGGUGGCCCAGAGUAAUUAUGCUUUAUGUGUGUCACGACAUAAGGGCAUAGAAAAUACAGUUUUUGUAGGGAAUUUUGUAGGGUGCAAGGACACCACCCAAAUCAGCUCUGUUGCGGGAGGCCCCUCUACCUACCCCAGGACCCCGUGGCCAGUCCCCGAGGGGUCUGGCUGGUAUUGGUUAUGCAAUCACACAGCCUAUAAGGUUCUCCCAGCAGGAUGGUGUGGUACAUGUACCUUAGGGGCUAUAGUACCCGCCGUGACAGUACACCAGAACCUGACCCGGGGAGAGAUCCGCAAUCUAGUAUGGAGGGACCGACGAAGUAUUCCUUUAAACCCCCUUUCUUAUCGGCCCAAAGGCUUUCACUCCUUUGUGCGUUGGUUUCUGCCAUGGUUGGGAGUAAGCGAGCUGGAAAAAGCUAUAGUUAACAUUUCAGCUGCUUUGGAACUAAUGGCAAAUGCUACUGCAGAUGCUCUCUCUGCCCUUCAAAUUGAAGUCACCCAGCUAUCCCAAACUACAUUGCAAAACCACCUAGCCCUGGAUUAUCUCCUUGCAAAUCAGGGCGGGGUUUGUGCUCUGGUCAAUUCAAGCUGUUGUGUAUUUGUAAAUCAGCACCAUAGGAUGGAAACUGACAUCCACAUCCUCAAGCAACAGAGAGCCCUAUUCCACCACAUCAGCCUCGACACUACCAAAGCCGGAUUCCAGGAGGUCUGGGACUGGCUCACCUCAUGGCUACCGGAUGUGGGGACUUGGGGACGGCGUAUUUUGUAUUUACUUUUUUUGACUGUUAUUGUUUUUGCGUUAUUUUUUGUAUGCCUACAAUGCUGCAGUAUGUGCUGUCGGCAGUUGCUAACCUUGCAGCGCGGUUACUCAGCCCCGAUAUAGCUUACUGACGUACAAAAAAAAAGGGAGGACUGUUAAGGAAAAGUUAGCACAUGUGACUCCAUUUUGGUUUGGGGCCCACCAUUGUUUAAAUGCCAGCACAUCAUACACCAGGAGGAGUAAUCCUUAGAUAUUGAAUCCCUGUGAAAAUCCUCCUCCUUGUCUCCAGCCUGCCUUGACUCCCAGUAUCUGGUUUUUGUCAGUCUCUAACUCCCUGUCUCUUGGCCUUGAUGUGAGGCCUCCCAUCCUGAUAAUAAAAGUUACUGAGGCAUAGCUUUAGGACCAUGCUGUGUAAUUAACAUACUGGUAUAGCACGAGGAAUGCACCAAGCAGGGAUAGGUGGUAGAUAAGACAAGGGUUUGUUUAUUGGCUAAGGUUUCCGAUGCACGAGGGCAACAUGCUUUGCUAAAAGGUAUGUAACCUUUGUAUAAUCUGCAUUCAGGGUCCCCUCCUGGCUAGCAGGGGGGCACCACGCUCGAGCGUAAUAAACUUAGUGUCUUUUGGGAA